AAAGUCGUAACAAGGUAUCCGUAGGUGAACCUGCGGAUGGAUCAUUACCAAUUUUUAAAUUUUAGUUUGUAAUGUCUCUUUACGGAGGCUUUACACAACUACUAUUGUAAACGUUGAACUAGAUUGUUCGGUGUGGAUUGCUUGGGAAUGGAUCGAGUUUAUUCUCUUUCCGGACAGGCAAACCCCACACUGAUUACCAUUUAUAUAUACUAUUUACUAGUACAUACUACCAAAAACAAAACAAACAAAACCAUUAGGACUUAUAAACGGUUGAGUGGGUAAAAUCCUCAACUAUAAAAUAUAACUAAUACAACUUUCAGCAAUGGAUCUCUAGGCUCUC
This 340-nucleotide unclassified non-coding RNA is filed under the name Mucoromycotina sp. RNAcentral describes it as "partial contains small subunit ribosomal RNA, internal transcribed spacer 1, and 5.8S ribosomal RNA". The stretch from base 1 to 47 matches the Rfam family "Eukaryotic small subunit ribosomal RNA", at positions 1785 to 1831 of the family's 1831-position model. The record is from RNAcentral. Lineage: Eukaryota; Fungi; Mucoromycota.